UUGAUUGGAUAUGUGAGUGUUAUAAAAUAAAAGUGAACUAUAGCUGACAAGAAUGAGUGGUUAAGGUUAAUUUCUUGUCCUUUGCAGGCUCUUCCUGUCAAGCAGCAGAAGGGAACAUUUUACCAAUGUACUGUUAGCUGAUAAUACUUGCAAGCUAUCGGCAUAAACUUGUUACAGGCUAAACAGAGGUAAAUAGACCUAAUGUACUUCUUUCUCAGACCAACGUAGGCCUACCUAGCAAAUUUAGCUAACGUUAUCCACUUUUCAACAUUGUUUUUUAAGAGUGUUUAGUCACGAUUGCUGCUGAUGGAUCACGUCAAAUUGGCUAGCCAGCUAAUAACAGAUCUAACCUAGUGGUUAGAGCGACAGGUGACCUAGUGGUUAGAGCGGCAGGUAGCCUAGUAGUUUGAGCUUUGGGGCGGCAGGUAGCCUAGUGGUUAGAAUGUUGGGAGGCAGGUAGCCUAGUGGAUAGAAUGUUGGGGAGGCAGGUAGCCUAGUAGUUAGAGCAUUGCGGAGGCAUGUAGCCUCGUGGUUAGAGCGUUGGGGAGGCAGGUAGCCUAGUUGUUAGAGCGUUGGGGUGGCAGGUAACCUAGAGCGUUGAGGUGGCAGGUAGCCUAGUGGUUAGAGCAUUGGUGUGGCAGGUAGCCUAGUGGUUAGAGCGUUGGGGAGGCAGGUAACCUAGUGGUUACAGCGUUGGUGUGGCAGGUAACCUAGAGCGUUGGGGCGGCAGGUAGCUUAGUGGUUAGAGCGCUGGGGCGGCAGGUAGGCUAGUGAUUAGAGCGUUGGGGCGGCAGGUAGGCUAGUUGUUAGAGCGUUGGGGAGGCAGUUAAUCUAGUGGUUGGAGCAGCAGGUAGCCUAGUGGUUAGAGAGGCAGGUAACCUAAUGGUUAGAAUGACAGGGCGGCAGGUAGCCUAGUGGUUAGAGCGUUGGGGAGCCAGGUAGCCUAGUGGUUAGAGCGUUGGGGUGACAGGUAAUCUAGUGGUUAGAUCGUUGGGGUGGCAGAUAGCCUAGUGGUUAGAGUGUUGGGGAGGCAGGUAGCCUAGUGGUGAGGGCGUUAGGGAGGCAGGUAGCCUAAUGGUUAAAGCGUUGGGGUGGCAGGUAGCCUAGUGGUUAGAGUGUUGGGGAGGCAGGUAGCCUAGUGGUUAGAUCGUUGGUGUGGCAGAUAGCCUAGUGGUUACAGUGUUGGGGAGGCAGGUAACCUAGUGGUUAGAGCGUUGUGGCGGCAGGUAACCUAGAGCGUUGGGGCGGCAGGUAACCUAGUGGUUAGAGCGGCAGGUAGCCUAGUGGUUAGAGCAUUGGGGCGGCAGGUAGCCUGAUGGUUAGAGUGUUGGAGAGAAAGGUAGCCUAGUGGUUAGAGCGUUGUGGAGGCAGGUAGCCUAGUGGUUAGGGCGUUGGGGAGGCAGGUAGCCUAGUGGUUAGAGCGUUGGGGUGACAGGUAACCUAGUGGCUAGAUCGUUGGGGUGGCAGAUAGCCUAGUGGUUAGAGCGUAGGGGCGGCAGGUAGCCUAGUGGUCAGAGCGUAGGGGCGGCAGGUAGCCUAGUGGUUAGAGUGUAGAGGCGGCAGGUAGCCUAGUGGUCAGAGCGUAGGGGCGGCAGGUAGCCUAGUGGUUAGAGUGUAGAGGCGGGAGGUAGCCUAGUGGUUAGAGUGUGGAGGCGGCAGGUAGCCUAGUGGUCAGAGCGUAGGGGCGGCAGGUAGCCUAGUGGUUAGAGCAUAGGGGUGGCAGGUAGCUUAGUGGUUAGAGCAUAGCGGCGGCAGGUAGCCUAGUGGUUAGAUUGUUGAGGCGGCAGGUAACCUAGUGGUUAGAGCGACAGGUAACCUAGAGGUUAGAGCGGCAGGUAGCCUAGUAGUUUGAGCUUUGGGGCGGCAGGUAGCCUAGUGGUUAGAAUGUUGGGAGGCAGGUAGCCUAGUAGUUAGAGCAUUGCGGAGGCAUGUAGCCUAGUGGUUAGAGCAUUGGGGAGGCAGGUAGCCUAGUUGUUAGAGCGUUGGGGAGGCAGGUAGCCUAGUGGUUAGAGCGUUGGGGCGGCAGGUAGCCUAGUGGUUAGAGCGUUGGGGAGCCAGGUAGCCUAGUGGUUAGAGCGUUGGGGUGACAGGUAACCUAGUGGUUAGAUCGUUGGGGUGGCAGAUAGCCUAGUGGUUAGAGUGUUGGGGAGGCAGGUAGCCUAGUGGUGAGGGCGUUAGGGAGGCAGGUAGCCUAAUGGUUAAAGCGUUGGGGUGGCAGGUAGCAUAGUGGUUAGAGCGUUGGGGAGGCAGGUAGCCUAGUGGUUAGAUCGUUGUUGUGGCAGAUAGCCUAGAGCGUUGGGGCGGCAGGUAACCUAGUGGUUAGAGCGGCAGGUAGCCUAGUGGUUAGAGCGUUGGGGCGGCAGGUAGCCUAGUGGUAAGAGCGGCAGGUAGCCUAGUAAUUAGAGCGUUGGGGCAGCAGGUAACCUAGUGGUUAGAGCGGCAGGUAGCCUAGUGGUUAGAGCGUUGGGGCGGCAGGUAACCUCGUGGUUAGAGCGGCAGGUAGCCUAGUGGUUAGAGCGAUGUGGCGGCAGGUAGCCUAGUGGUAAGAGCAUUAGGUAGGCAGGUAACAUAGUGGUUAGAGCGGCAGGUAGCCUAGUGGUUAGAGCGGCAGGUAGCCUAGUGGUUAGAGCAGCAGGUAACCUAGUGGUUAGAGCGAUGGGGCGGCAGGUAAUCUAGUGGUUAGAGCGUUGGGGCGGCAGGUAGCCUAGUGGUUAGAACGUUGGGGAGGCAGUUAGCCUAGUGGUUAGAGUGUUGGAGAGUCAGGUAACCUAGUGGUUAGAGCGGCAGGUAAUCUAGUGGUUAGAGCGUUGGGGCGGCAGGUAGCCUAGUGGUUAGAUCGUUGGGGUGGCAGAUAGCCUAGUGGUUACAGUGUUAUAGGGUGGUAGGUAGCCUAGUGGUUCGAGCGUUGGGGAGGCAGGUAACCUAAUGGUUAGAGCAUUGAGGUGGCAGGUAACCUAGUGGUUAGAUCGUUGGUGUGGCAGAUAGCCUAGUGGUUACAGUGUUGGGGAGGCAGGUAACCUAGUGGUUAGAUCGUUGGUGUGGCAGAUAGCCUCGUGGUUACAGUGUUGGGGAGGCAGGUAACUUAGAGCGUUGGGGCGGCAGGUAACCUAGUGGUUAGAGCGGCAGGUAGCCUAGUGGUUAGAGCGUUGGGGAGGCAGGUAGCCUAGUGGUUAGAGCGUUGGGGUGGCAGGUGACCUAGUGGUUAGAGCGUUGGGGAGGCAGGUAGCCUAGUGGUUAGAGGGUUGGGGAGGCAGGUAGCCUAGUGGUUAGAGCGUUGGGGAGGCAGGUAGCCUAGUGGUUAGAGUGUUGGGGAGGCAGGUAGCCUAGUGGUUAGAGUGUUGGGGAGGCAGGUAGCCUAGUGGUUUAGAGCGUUGGGCCAGUAACCGAAAGGUUGCAUGUUGAAUCCCUGAGCUGCUCCUGAACAAGGCAGUUAACCCACUGUUCCUAGGCUGUCACUGUAAAUAGAACUGACUUGCCUAGUUAAAUAAAGUUCUUAAAAAAAUGUUUAACAAUCCCUUGAAAACUGCACACAGUUGUCAAUGGUUUUAGCAGAGCUGUGGGUCUUCUUGCUCACCAGCAGCCAAAUGGAUUGCUCUGCACCAUAUUAGGUCGUAAUCAAUGAAACGUCACAUGGGGACAAACAUUUGGGACAGAUCAUUAGGAUUCUCAGGUUCCAAAUAUUUUAAAUGUCUCGUGUCAUGUUAGCUCAUACAUAUUCAGAGGUUGCUACAGCCUCUCACCUCAUGUAAUGCAUGUCAAUCACUGGAGUCAAAGACAUGUUGAUUGAGUUGGAAAGAAAGAGUUAUGUUUCUGAUGUCUUAAAACUGUAAAUUAAACUCUAAUAAUAUACAAAUGACAAGAACUGUAUUAUAAUGAGCAAACUGAAUCUAAUUUAAUCUAUGUUAAUGUUUUAGUUCUAAUCCAUGUGAAUUGUUCAAUAUGUGUAUGUUUCAGCAAAGAUAAAAAUAUAUGAGUUUACAUAUGGCUUAAACAAAUGUCAAUUGCUUUCUAUUUUCCAUAAAUGUAUCAAUGUAGAUAUUAAUUGUUCCUUAGUUUUGGUGUUUGCCAGUAACAUCUAUUAAAUGUAGCAACAUUGAUAUUUAUUGCAGAGAUGAAAUGAUUAGACCUAUUGUUUAUUUGCUUAAUCUUGUUUCUAGUUAUUGUUCUGUAAGAUAUGUGCAUUGUGUAACUUAAAUGUUAAUUUAAAACUUUAAUAGGAAUUUAUUUUAUUAAAAUUAAAUGUAAAAAUUGUUUGUAAAAUCUAUUUCGGUUUUUAUGACAUUAAACAUGAAUUGAACUUGGGACAGAGUGCGAUGGAAUUGGUUUGGCUUAAAUAAACUAUGAAAAUUUGUAUUAAUGGAAUAAACGUUUUAAA
This is a long non-coding RNA of Oncorhynchus tshawytscha (Chinook salmon), 4375 nucleotides long. Lineage: Eukaryota; Metazoa; Chordata; Actinopteri; Salmoniformes; Salmonidae. The record is from Ensembl.